AUGAACGCUAGCUACAGGCUUAACACAUGCAAGUCGAGGGGAAACGACAUCGAAAGCUUGCUUUCGAUGGGCGUCGACCGGCGCACGGGUGAGUAACGCGUAUCCAACCUGCCCAUCACUUGGGGAUAACCUUGCGAAAGUAAGACUAAUACCCAAUGACGUCUCUAGAAGACAUCUGAAGGAGAUUAAAGAUUUAUCGGUGAUGGAUGGGGAUGCGUCUGAUUAGCUUGUUGGCGGGGUAACGGCCCACCAAGGCGACGAUCAGUAGGGGUUCUGAGAGGAAGGUCCCCCACAUUGGAACUGAGACACGGUCCAAACUCCUACGGGAGGCAGCAGUGAGGAAUAUUGGUCAAUGGGCGAGAGCCUGAACCAGCCAAGUAGCGUGCAGGAUGACGGCCCUAUGGGUUGUAAACUGCUUUUAUAAGGGAAUAAAGUGAGCCUCGUGAGGCUUUUUGCAUGUACCUUAUGAAUAAGGACCGGCUAAUUCCGUGCCAGCAGCCGCGGUAAUACGGAAGGUCCGGGCGUUAUCCGGAUUUAUUGGGUUUAAAGGGAGCGUAGGCCGGAGAUUAAGCGUGUUGUGAAAUGUAGACGCUCAACGUCUGCACUGCAGCGCGAACUGGUUUCCUUGAGUACGCACAAAGUGGGCGGAAUUCGUGGUGUAGCGGUGAAAUGCUUAGAUAUCACGAAGAACUCCGAUUGCGAAGGCAGCUCACUGGAGCGCAACUGGCGCUGAAGCUCGAAAGUGCGGGUAUCGAACAGGAUUAGAUACCCUGGUAGUCCGCACGGUAAACGAUGGAUGCCCGCUGUUGGUCUGAAUAGGUCAGCGGCCAAGCGAAAGCAUUAAGCAUCCCACCUGGGGAGUACGCCGGCAACGGUGAAACUCAAAGGAAUUGACGGAAGGGC
RNAcentral lists this ribosomal RNA (903 nucleotides) under uncultured bacterium. RNAcentral describes it as "bacterial SSU rRNA". It matches the Rfam family "Bacterial small subunit ribosomal RNA", at positions 29 to 922 of the family's 1533-position model. The record is from RNAcentral.